CCUACGGGCGACAGCAGUGAGGAAUAUUGGUCAAUGGGCGGAAGCCUGAACCAGCCAAGUAGCGUGCAGGAUGACGGCCCUACGGGUUGUAAACUGCUUUUAUACGGGAAUAACGCGCCUUACGUGUAGGGCUUUGCAUGUACCGUAUGAAUAAGGACCGGCUAAUUCCGUGCCAGCAGCCGCGGUAAUACGGAAGGUCCGGGCGUUAUCCGGAUUUAAUGGGUUUAAAGGGAGCGUAGGCCGCAUGUCAAGCGUGCUGUGAAAUGUCCGGGCUCAACCCGGGCCUUGCAGCGCGAACUGGCGUGCUUGAGUCCGCGGAAAGCAGGCGGCAUUCGUCGUGUAGCGGUGAAAUGCUUAGAUAUGACGAAGAACCCCGAUUGCGAAGGCAGCUUGCUGCAGCGGAACUGACGCUGAUGCUCGAAAGCGCGGGUAUCGAACAGGAUUAGAUACCCCAGUAGUC
RNAcentral lists this ribosomal RNA (460 nucleotides) under uncultured bacterium. RNAcentral's name for it is "partial 16S ribosomal RNA". It matches the Rfam family "Bacterial small subunit ribosomal RNA", at positions 338 to 795 of the family's 1533-position model. The record is from RNAcentral.